Molecule: ribosomal RNA, 253 nt
Filed under: uncultured bacterium
Lineage: Bacteria
Description: partial 16S ribosomal RNA
Rfam family: Bacterial small subunit ribosomal RNA
Source: RNAcentral
UACGUAGGGAGCAAGCGUUGUCCGGAAUCAUUGGGCGUAAAGCGCGCGUAGGUGGCCCCAUAAGUCCGCUGUGAAAGUCAAAGGCUCAACCUUUGAAAGCCGGUGGAUACUGUGGGACUAGAGUACGGAAGGGGCGAGUGGAAUUCCUGGUGUAGCGGUGAAAUGCGCAGAUAUCAGGAGGAACACCAAUGGCGAAGGCAGCUCGCUGGAACGGUACUGACGCUGAGGCGCGAAAGCGUGGGGAGCGAACAGG